CAGUAGCCGCGGUAAUACGUAGGUGGCGAGCGUUGUCCGGAUUUAUUGGGCGUAAAGGGAGUGUAGGCGGUCUUUUAAGUCUGAUGUGAAAGCCCACGGCUCAACCGUGGAGGGUCAUUGGAAACUGGGAGACUUGAGUGCAGAAGAGGAGAGCGGAAUUCCAUGUGUAGCGGUGAAAUGCGUAGAUAUAUGGAGGAACACCAGUGGCGAAGGCGGCUCUCUGGUCUGUAACUGACGCUGAGGAGCGAAAGCGUGGGGAGCGAGCAGGAUUAGAUACCCCAGUAGUCCCUGUCUUUUAUAU
This 301-nucleotide ribosomal RNA is filed under the name uncultured bacterium. Its description in RNAcentral is "partial 16S ribosomal RNA". It matches the Rfam family "Bacterial small subunit ribosomal RNA", at positions 509 to 809 of the family's 1533-position model. The record is from RNAcentral.